RNAcentral lists this ribosomal RNA (384 nucleotides) under Methylophaga sp. Its description in RNAcentral is "bacterial LSU rRNA". It matches the Rfam family "Bacterial large subunit ribosomal RNA", at positions 2557 to 2925 of the family's 2925-position model. Lineage: Bacteria; Pseudomonadati; Pseudomonadota; Gammaproteobacteria; Thiotrichales; Piscirickettsiaceae. The record is from RNAcentral.
AGUUGGUCCCAAGGGUAUGGCUGUUCGCCAUUUAAAGUGGUACGCGAGCUGGGUUUAGAACGUCGUGAGACAGUUCGGUCCCUAUCUGCCGUGGGCGUUGGAAAUUUGAGAGGAGCUGCUCCUAGUACGAGAGGACCGGAGUGGACGUACCCCUGGUGUUCGGGUUGUUUUGCCAAAGGCAUUGCCCGGUAGCUAUGUACGGACGGGAUAAACGCUGAAAGCAUCUAAGCGUGAAGCCCCCCUCAAGAUUAGAUUUCCCAGAGCUUUAAGCUCCUGAAGGGCCGUUGAAGACUACGACGUUGAUAGGUUGGGUGUGGAAGCGCGGUAACGCGUGAAGCUAACCAAUACUAAUUGCCCGUGAGGCUUGACCAUAUAACCCCAAGG